GAUGAACGCUGGCGGCGUGCCUAAUACAUGCAAGUCGAGCGGUAAGGCCACUUCGGUGGUACACGAGCGGCGGACGGCUGAGUAACACGUAGGAACGUACCCCAAACUGAGGGAUAACUGCUCGAAAGAGUAGCUAAUACCGCAUGUGCUCUAAGGAGUAAAGCUUCGGCGGUUUGGGAACGGCCUGCGCAUGAUUAGCUUGUUGGUGAGGUAAAAGCUCACCAAGGCGACGAUCAUUAGCUGGUCUGAGAGGAUGAUCAGCCAGACUGGGACUGAGACACGGCCCAGACUCCUACGGGAGGCAGCAGUAGGGAAUUUUCCACAAUGGGCGAAAGCCUGAUGGAGCAACGCCGCGUGCAGGAUGAAUGCCUUCGGGUUGUAAACUGCUUUUAUAUGUGACGAUUAUGACGGUAGCAUAUGAAUAAGGAUCGGCUAACUCCGUGCCAGCAGCCGCGGUCAUACGGAGGAUCCAAGCGUUAUCCGGAAUUACUGGGCGUAAAGAGUUGCGUAGGUGGCAUAGCAAGUUGGUAGUGAAAUGACAUGGCUCAACCAUGUGCCCAUUACCAAAACUGUUAAGCUAGAGGACGAGAGAGGUUACUGGAAUUCCCAGUGUAGGAGUGAAAUCCGUAGAUAUUGGGAGGAACACCGAUGGCGUAGGCAGGUAACUGGCUCGUUCCUGACACUAAGGCACGAAAGCGUGGGGAGCAAACGGGAUUAGAUACCCCGGUAGUCCACGCCGUAAACGAUGGAUGCUAGCUGUUAGAAGUAUCGACCCUUCUAGUAGCGAAGCUAACGCGUUAAGCAUCCCGCCUGUGGAGUACGAGCGCAAGCUUAAAACAUAAAGGAAUUGACGGGGACCCGCACAAGCGGUGGAGCGUGUUGUUUAAUUCGAUGAUAAGCGAAGAACCUUACCCAGGCUUGACAUCCUUGGAAUUUUGCCGAAAGGCGAGAGUGCUUUUAGAGCCAAGUGACAGGUGAUGCAUGGCCGUCGUCAGCUCGUGUCGUGAGAUGUUUGGUUAAGUCCAUCAACGAGCGCAACCCUUGUAGUUAGUUGUAUUUUUCUAGCUAGACUGCCCUGGCAACAGGGAGGAAGGAGGGGAUGAUGUCAGGUCAGUAUUUCCCUUACGUCUGGGGCUACAAACACGCUACAAUGGCCGGUACAAAGGGCAGCCAACCCGCGAGGGGGAGCAAAUCUCAUCAAAGCCGGUCUCAGUUCGGAUUGUAGGCUGAAACUCGCCUGCAUGAAGUCGGAAUCGCUAGUAACGGUAGGUCAGCUAUACUACCGUGAAUACGUUCCCGGGUCU
RNAcentral lists this ribosomal RNA (1304 nucleotides) under uncultured bacterium. RNAcentral describes it as "bacterial SSU rRNA". It matches the Rfam family "Bacterial small subunit ribosomal RNA", at positions 28 to 1381 of the family's 1533-position model. The record is from RNAcentral.